Molecule: ribosomal RNA, 385 nt
Filed under: uncultured bacterium
Lineage: Bacteria
Description: bacterial SSU rRNA
Rfam family: Bacterial small subunit ribosomal RNA
Source: RNAcentral
GACGAACGCUGGCGGCGUGCUUAACACAUGCAAGUCACGGGGGCCCGCAAGGGCAACCGGCGAACGGGUGCGUAACACGUGAACGACCUGCCCUCGUGUGGGGGAUAGCCGGGCUAACGCCCGGGUAAUACCGCAUACGGUCAUCGGGAGGAGUCUCCUGGUGAAGAAAGCUCCGGCGCACGGGGAGGGGUUCGCGGCCUAUCAGCUAGUUGGUGCGGUAACGGCGCACCAAGGCGACGACGGGUAGCUGGCUGAGAGGAUGGCCAGCCACAUUGGGACUGAGAGACGGCCCAGACUCCUACGGGAGGCAGCAGUGGGGAAUCUUGCGCAAUGGCCGAAAGGCUGACGCAGCGACGCCGCGUGUGGGAGGACGCCUUUCGGGUGU